UACUCUUAAUCAGGGUUGCACCUCUCCUC
Molecule: non-coding RNA, 29 nt
Filed under: Rattus norvegicus (Norway rat)
Lineage: Eukaryota; Metazoa; Chordata; Mammalia; Rodentia; Muridae
Source: RNAcentral